This 397-nucleotide ribosomal RNA is filed under the name uncultured bacterium. Its description in RNAcentral is "partial 16S ribosomal RNA". It matches the Rfam family "Bacterial small subunit ribosomal RNA", at positions 523 to 918 of the family's 1533-position model. The record is from RNAcentral.
AUACGUAGGUGACAAGCGUUAUCCGGAUUUACUGGGCGUAAAGGGCGUGUAGGCGGUCUUGCAAGUCAGAAGUGAAAUUCCUGAGCUCAACUCGGGCGCUGCUUCUGAAACUGCAGGACUUGAGUGCUGGAGGGGAUAGCGGAAUUCCUAGUGGAGCGGUAAAAUGCGCAGAUAUUAGGAAGAACACCGGUGGCGAAGGCGGCUAUCUGGACAGUAACUGACGCUGAGGCGCGAUAGCGUGGGGAGCAAACAGGAUUAGAUCCCCGGGUAGUCCACGCCGUAAACGACGAAUACUAGGUGUAGGGGGUAUCGACUCCCUCUGUGCCGCAGUUAACACAAUAAGUAUUCCGCCUGGGGAGUACGGCCGCAAGGUUGAAACUCAAAGGAAUUGACGGGG